GGCGACUGGUAUUCCGACGCCAGCUCUCGACGGAGCUAAUGUUUUCUCAUCCACCCAUCCUUUAAAAACCUGUCCGAAUCCACCUUCUCCGAUCACAGAUUCUGGUCGAAAGUUCUUUGUAGCCGUCUUAAGCUCCACUAAUGUAAACAUCUUUAGAUUAGGUGUCACUAUCUUCCCACUCGGUGGCACUGCUUUCCUUCCUAAACCCAAUUUUUCUACCGGCUUUGACGGCGGAUUAUCGACGGGUCUCGUCUUCUCCUGAGGUGGGGUUUCAACGGAUCUUGUUUUCUC
Arabidopsis thaliana (thale cress) is the source of this 291-nucleotide long non-coding RNA. RefSeq annotates it as other RNA. The record is from RefSeq. The transcript has a single exon. Lineage: Eukaryota; Viridiplantae; Streptophyta; Magnoliopsida; Brassicales; Brassicaceae.